Molecule: ribosomal RNA, 222 nt
Filed under: uncultured bacterium
Lineage: Bacteria
Description: partial 16S ribosomal RNA
Rfam family: Bacterial small subunit ribosomal RNA
Source: RNAcentral
ACGCUCGACACCUACGGGAGGCNGCAGUAGGGAAUCUUCCACAAUGGGCGCAAGCCUGAUGGAGCAACACCGCGUGAGUGAAGAAGGGUUUCGGCUCGUAAAGCUCUGUUGUUGGAGAAGAACGUGCGUGAGAGUAACUGUUCACGCAGUGACGGUAUCCAACCAGAAAGUCACGGCUAACUACGUGCAGCAGCCGCGGUAAUCUGAGCGGGCUGGCAAGGC